This is a non-coding RNA of Nicotiana tabacum (common tobacco), 583 nucleotides long. The record is from RefSeq and is a predicted model, not a curated record. Lineage: Eukaryota; Viridiplantae; Streptophyta; Magnoliopsida; Solanales; Solanaceae.
UCAUCAUUUAUUUAUCUAUUUAUGUGUUGUUUGUGGAAUAGGUGAGUACAGCUGGCCCAAUAUUUGCUGGGCCCUGCAUAUCUCGUGCACUAACUUCACAGGUGCUUGUUUGUUCAAGAGAUGGCAGUGUUUACUCCUUUGAUUUGGAAAAUGGUGAUUUAUUCUGGAAGCAUGAUAUUGGACAGCCAAUUACUUCAUCUGCCUAUGUUGAUGAACACUUGCUAUUGGCAUGCAUUGAUUCUUCUCUGUCUCAAAGGUUAAUCUGUGUUUGCUCCAGUUCUGGAAGUGUAUGUGUUCUUCAAGUCAGCUUGAACUCUGACGGGGCAAAUCAACCAUGUGAUAUGGUGCGGGAAUUUGCUAGGUAUGAACUUGGAGGAGACAUCUUCUCCUCUCCUGUGAUGAUUGGUGGGGAAAUAUUUGUUGGUUGCAGGGAUGACUAUGUGCACUGCAUUAGUCUUGGAUGAAAUACCAAUAUAAGCCUAUUACAUUAUAUCUUUCACAUGCUCUGUCUGUGGGAGUAUAAAACUCCUCAUUAUCGGAGCAUCAAAUAUUUGCAAAGAAGUUUGCUGCGAAAUUAUCCGAG